Molecule: transfer-messenger RNA, 351 nt
Filed under: Nitrospirota bacterium
Lineage: Bacteria; Pseudomonadati; Nitrospirota
Also listed under: 1 other name
Description: Nitrospirae bacterium (hot springs metagenome) transfer-messenger RNA
Rfam family: transfer-messenger RNA
About the family: Bacterial tmRNA, also known as 10Sa RNA or SsrA, is named for its dual tRNA and mRNA-like properties. Its role is to liberate the mRNA from a stalled ribosome. To accomplish this part of the tmRNA is used as a reading frame that ends in a translation stop signal.
Source: RNAcentral
GGGGGCGAAAGGGCUCGACGGGGGUUACGAGGAUCAGGUUGCAUGUCGUGGCUCCGUCACCACGUAAAAAGGCGGAAACAAACACAAACGCCAAUAACGAACUGGCACUUGCUGCUUAAAUAACUAAGCAGCACGCUGCCCUGAAAUUGUCUGUGUUUCAGGUGUCAGUGUCAUAAAGCAGGCUGGCCUUAAGAGACUUCUCUUUAUCUUAAGGCAAGAUUUAAAGAGAUGGGAUGGUGAAAAGCCUUUCUGCUGGCGGUUCAUCAUCCGAGAUUGAAAAAGCAGGAUAAACAUGUAGAAGCCUGAGAGUAGUACUUUCGGACGCGGGUUCAAUUCCCGCCGCCUCCACCA